AGUUAAGUAGCUUAGAGAAAAGCGUAUGUUUUGAAAGCAUAAGACAGAAGUUGAAGUCUUCUAUUAACUU
Molecule: transfer RNA, 70 nt
Filed under: Agnetina aequalis
Lineage: Eukaryota; Metazoa; Arthropoda; Insecta; Plecoptera; Perlidae
Description: tRNA-Ser
Rfam family: tRNA
About the family: Transfer RNA (tRNA) molecules are approximately 80 nucleotides in length. Their secondary structure includes four short double-helical elements and three loops (D, anti-codon, and T loops).
Source: RNAcentral